This 253-nucleotide ribosomal RNA is filed under the name uncultured bacterium. RNAcentral's name for it is "partial 16S ribosomal RNA". It matches the Rfam family "Bacterial small subunit ribosomal RNA", at positions 524 to 776 of the family's 1533-position model. The record is from RNAcentral.
UACGUAGGGUGCAAGCGUUAAUCGGAAUUACUGGGCGUAAAGCGUGCGCAGGCGGUUCUAUAAGACAGAUGUGAAAUCCCCGGGCUCAACCUGGGAACUGCAUUUGUGACUGUAGAGCUGGAGUACGGCAGAGGGGGAUGGAAUUCCGCGUGUAGCAGUGAAAUGCGUAGAUAUGCGGAGGAACACCGAUGGCGAAGGCAAUCCCCUGGGCCUGUACUGACGCUCAUGCACGAAAGCGUGGGGAGCAAACGGG